This 61-nucleotide microRNA precursor is filed under the name Xenopus laevis (African clawed frog). Its description in RNAcentral is "Xla-Mir-551-P2b_pre stem-loop". It matches the Rfam family "mir-551 microRNA precursor family", at positions 9 to 66 of the family's 74-position model. The record is from RNAcentral. Lineage: Eukaryota; Metazoa; Chordata; Amphibia; Anura; Pipidae.
GAAAUCAAGCUUGGGUUAGACCUGGUUUUUAUUCACUGAGGCGACCCAUACUUGGUUUCUG